GGAAGAACAGGGAGUCGGGCUGUAGCGCAGCGGGUUAAGCGCAGGUGGCGCAAAGCACAAGGACCAGCAUAAGGAUCCCGGUUCGAACCCCGGCUCCCCACCUGCAGGGGAGUCGCUUCACAGGCGGUGAAGCAGGUCUGCAGGUGUCUAUCUUUCUCUCCCCCCGUCUUCCCCUCCUCUCUCCAUUUCUCUCUGUCCUAUCCAACAACGACGACAAUAAUAACUACAACAAUAAAACAACAAGGACAACAAAAAGGAAUAAAUAA
Molecule: long non-coding RNA, 266 nt
Organism: Erinaceus europaeus (western European hedgehog)
Lineage: Eukaryota; Metazoa; Chordata; Mammalia; Eulipotyphla; Erinaceidae
Exons: 2
Source: RefSeq, a predicted model, not a curated record